AAAUGGCGGAUCGAAUAGAUGGAUUCGCCGACGGCGAUCGGCGUCGGCGUCGACCGCGUCAGACGGAU
RNAcentral lists this small RNA (68 nucleotides) under Sinorhizobium meliloti 2011. RNAcentral describes it as "putative ncRNA". Lineage: Bacteria; Pseudomonadati; Pseudomonadota; Alphaproteobacteria; Hyphomicrobiales; Rhizobiaceae. The record is from RNAcentral.